CAUACAUUCCACGUUAAAGUGGUUUGCGUUAUAAUCGAAAUAUUUCGGUUACUUUAUAUUCCUAUGCAUGACUUCUUAACACUUCGAUACUUUCACACGCAACGUCACAAAGAAUAUAAUUCUCAAGUUCGAUUUCGUCAUUCAAUAAGUAUACCCUUUAGAAUUCAACGAACAUAAUUUUCUCGCGAAAACUAGAUGUCACUGUAAGAUAAUAUAUUUUCCCUCGUUCUAUAUACUAUGGGUUUCUCAAAAAGAAAAAAAAAAAAAAAAAAAGGUACACGAGAAUAUAUUUUCUGAAUGAAAAAUAUGAUUAUAUAAAAGCUGAGACGUGAAUCGAGGAAUAGCUUUAUCGAGAUUGCAAAAUAUUGAGUAUCCCAUAUCUAAAAUUAGUAACUACAGUGGAGAGAAAGAGUAGCAGAAGAAACUAGCUUCAAUCACGUGCCCGUUUCCCUACGGUCAAUGGCUGUCGAAGGCUUUCGACUAUUUAUCGAUGGAUACGAACGUCAUCGCGCAUCGACUAUACCUUGUGACCGAAUUAUUAAUUAUUAAUCGAGAAAAAAAGAUUGAAACAGAAGAGAAAAUAAAGAAAAAAGUAGAAAGUAGAAGUUAAUAGGAAACAAAAGGAAGAACGAGAGUAAAAAGGAUACACCUUUAUGGCGCCGGAUGCCGUGCCAAUGAUCAUCAACCGCAAACUCGGAUCCCAUGCGAGGGCUGUGGGCUUAUUUGGGAAUCCAUGUUGCACCGUCUGCAAACAACAGGAAAUGAUUGUUAUUAGUCAGAGUAAUUACAACUAUUAACGGAAUCAAUGAUCAAUCAGAGUAAUGAAUUAGAAUAAGGACAUGCAAUAAACAAAAAUGUUAUAUGUAACAAAUUUAUAAACAAGUCAUCAGGAUUAUGCCUUGAUGAUGUGUAACAAAAAUGAUGAUAACAGAGAAGGCAGAAAUAUAAGAGAAGUGAAAUAGUAUACAGGACAUCUCAGUUGAAGGAGGUCACCUAAAUAUUCUCUUCGUUUUUAAUAAGAGAAAUUUUUAAAGCACAAUUUGAAUGAUUUAAAAAGAAAAAUA
This is a long non-coding RNA of Apis florea (little honeybee), 1064 nucleotides long. The record is from RefSeq and is a predicted model, not a curated record. Lineage: Eukaryota; Metazoa; Arthropoda; Insecta; Hymenoptera; Apidae.